CCUUCCUGCCAGGGUGAGAGGCAGGCGACGCCAUAUAGCCUCAGCAGCUGAGUGUGUCGUAAAGCCCCACUGACAGACAGUCCGCCACAGCUGCGAUACACGGCUGUCUUAUUUAGAACGUUAAUUGAAAUAAGACUCCCGGUCUCAACUGAAAGCAGUACUGCUAAGGUGUGACAAUGUCUUGGAUUCGGGAAGGCAAUCACGAUAAAGCAUGGAACGACCCCCCGGUCUUCUCAUACGAUGCUGCGUCUGCAGCUCAGGCCACUCACAAGCGCACAUCCUUAAACAAGAGAGUGGCUUUUCCCUUGUCAAACCCAUCUGGUCAAGUAUCGCCGCUAGCCUCCGGCUCUGGACCGCCUUCAAUGGUGCCAGGCACAGGACCACCAUCGAUGGUGCCAGGCGCGGGACCACCACCAAUGGUGCCAGGCGCGGGACCACCACCGAUGGUGCCAGGUGGGGGACCGCCGCCAAUGAUGCCAGGCGCGGGACCGCCUCCAAUGGUGCCAGGCGCGGGACCAACUCCAAUGGUGCCAGGCGCGGGACCGCCGGCGAUGGGGCCAGGCGCGGGACCGCCGCCAUCGGUGCCAUGCGCGGGACCACCAGCGAUGGUGCCAGGCGCGGGACCACCGGCCCAACUGUCUGAUGAGGCACCGCGCGUGGCGGCGCUGACCACCGACGACCAAACGCCGCGUGUGACGUCAGGGG
Molecule: long non-coding RNA, 705 nt
Organism: Pollicipes pollicipes
Lineage: Eukaryota; Metazoa; Arthropoda; Thecostraca; Pollicipedomorpha; Pollicipedidae
Exons: 3
Source: RefSeq, a predicted model, not a curated record